GACGAACCGUGCGAACGUUGUUCGGAUUCACUGGGCUUAAAGGGCGCGUAGGCGGGCCGCCCGGUCAGGGGUGAAAUCUUCCGGCUCAACCGGAAAAGGGCCCCUGAUACCGGCGGCCUCGAGGGGGGUAGGGGCGUGCGGAACUUCCGGUGGAGCGGUGAAAUGCGUAGAUAUCGGAAGGAACGCCGGUGGCGAAAGCGGCGCGCUGGACCCCUCCUGACGCUGAGGCGCGAAAGCCAGGGGAGCAAACGGG
Molecule: ribosomal RNA, 253 nt
Filed under: uncultured bacterium
Lineage: Bacteria
Description: partial 16S ribosomal RNA
Rfam family: Bacterial small subunit ribosomal RNA
Source: RNAcentral